CCUUGGUGUGAAACCUUGAGCAAGGGCUAGGCACGAAGCCUAGUUCUCUCCCUCUCUUCUUCCUCUUCUCUCCUUCUUUCUUUCUCCUUCUUCUUCCCUGCUGUCCAGCAUUAGCGCUGGUAUCAGAGCAAAGGAAACAAAACACCUUCUGGGCUGCUGUGGCCUUGGUCUCAAUCCCUCCUUCUGAAGCCGUACUGCUAAGUCCUCCUCCGUGGUCGUCCCAUGGGGAUCAAGCCUCACAAGGAAGGAACCAAAAAAAAAAAAGAAACUCUUCUUCCCUGUUCCCAUGGACAGUUGCAAUUUUCUUUCCCCUACCCGCGACCCAACGGAGAAGACUGCCGCCGCGGCCUGAUCUCUAGCCGCAGCCACCACCCAAGGCUGGGUCCGAGAAGAGGAGCGUCCCGUGUCCGCGGCCGCUUCGUUGCCGCUUGCAGCUUCGCCCUCAGCCGCCACCGCAGGGCAAGUAACCCUUCCCCUCAAAGCCCACGAAGGACCCAGGC
This 500-nucleotide long non-coding RNA is filed under the name Phoenix dactylifera (date palm). RNAcentral's name for it is "long non-coding RNA (PDAC_LNC023138)". The record is from RNAcentral. Lineage: Eukaryota; Viridiplantae; Streptophyta; Magnoliopsida; Arecales; Arecaceae.